UCCCUCGAUAGCUUAUUUGAAAGCUUUGGGUUUUUUCCCCGAGGGUGUAAUUGAUUUCUCGUUGGAG
Molecule: transfer RNA, 67 nt
Filed under: Brachylecithum sp. PakAb2
Lineage: Eukaryota; Metazoa; Platyhelminthes; Trematoda; Plagiorchiida; Dicrocoeliidae
Description: tRNA-Lys
Source: RNAcentral